This 480-nucleotide long non-coding RNA is filed under the name Androctonus crassicauda. Lineage: Eukaryota; Metazoa; Arthropoda; Arachnida; Scorpiones; Buthidae. The record is from RNAcentral.
GUAUUGAUUAUUGGAUAAAAACCUAAAGACUUGCUGUAUUUACAGGACGUAGUUUAAACAGAGACAAAACAAUCCUAUUUUUAGCCAAUGUAAGGUAGUUCCUUAAGAAGUCAGUCAGUGCCUUGAGGUGGUGCCACUGGGCUUUGAUGCCAGCAUUUGGGAGUCAGGCAGGUAGAUCCCUGAGUUCAAGGCCAGCCUGGUCUACAGAGUGAGUUCCAGUACAACCAGGGCUACACAAAUUAACCCUGUCUUGAAAAACCAAAAAUAAAUAAGAAGUGCAUUUUAAAAAGUUGUUAUUCGGAGACAUUAAAGUCUUAAUACUUGUGGAAAAUGUGAUUCAUUGGCAUUUAAAAAGCUAUGUUCUUCUUGGCUAGCAAGACAGCUCAGUGGGUAAGGUCUUAGCACAUAAGCCCCGUGACCUCAGUUUUAUCCCCAGAACUCACAUCAAGGUGGUAGCCCCUCCCCCAAUCCAUAUAAUGC